UUCGCCCUUAGAGCUUUAUCCUGGCUCAGGACGAACGCUGGCGGCGUGCUUAACACAUGCAAGUCGAACGAAGCUUGAUUUAUGAUUUCUUCGGAAUGAAUAAUGAUAUGACUGAGUGGCGGACGGGUGAGUAACGCGUGAGCAACCUGCCCUUCGGAGGGGGAUAGCGUCUGGAAACGGACGGUAAUACCGCAUAAAGUGUCUUGACCGCAUGAUCGAGAUACCAAAACUGAGGUGCCGAAGGAUGGGCUCGCGUUGGAUUAGAUAGUUGGUGGGGUAACGGCCUACCAAGUCGACGAUCCAUAGCCGGACUGAGAGGUUGAUCGGCCACAUUGGGACUGAGACACGGCCCAGACUCCUACGGGAGGCAGCAGUGGGGAAUAUUGCACAAUGGGGGAAACCCUGAUGCAGCGACGCCGCGUGGAGGAAGAAGGUCUUCGGAUUGUAAACUCCUGUUGUUGAGGAAGAUAAUGACGGUACUCAACAAGGAAGUGACGGCUAACUACGUGCCAGCAGCCGCGGUAAAACGUAGGUCACAAGCGUUGUCCGGAAUUACUGGGUGUAAAGGGAGCGCAGGCGGGAAGACAAGUUGGAAGUGAAAUCUAUGGGCUCAACCCAUAAACUGCUUUCAAAACUGUUUUUCUUGAGUAGUGAGAGGUAGGCGGAAUUCCCGGUGUAGCGGUGGAAUGCGUAGAUAUCGGGAGGAACACCAGUGGCGAAGGCGGCCUACUGGGCACCAACUGACGCUGAGGCUCGAAAGUGUGGGUAGCAAACAGGAUUAGAUACCCUGGUAGUCCACACUGUAAACGAUGAUUACUAGGUGUUGGAGGAUUGACCCCUUCAGUGCCGCAGUUAACACAAUAAGUAAUCCACCUGGGGAGUACGACCGCAAGGUUGAAACUCAAAGGAAUUGACGGGGGCCCGCACAAGCAGUGGAGUAUGUGGUUUAAUUCGACGCAACGCGAAGAACCUUACCAAGUCUUGACAUCCUGCGACGGUGCUGGAAACAGUACUUUCCUUCGGGACGCAGAGACAGGUGGUGCAUGGUUGUCGUCAGCUCGUGUCGUGAGAUGUUGGGUUAAGUCCCGCAACGAGCGCAACCCUUAUGGUCAGUUACUACGCAAGAGGACUCUGGCCAGACUGCCGUUGACAAAACGGAGGAAGGUGGGGAUGACGUCAAAUCAUCAUGCCCUUUAUGACUUGGGCUACACACGUACUACAAUGGCGUUAAACAAAGAGAAGCAAGACCGCGAGGUGGAGCAAAACUCAGAAACAACGUCCCAGUUCGGACUGCAGGCUGCAACUCGCCUGCACGAAGUCGGAAUUGCUAGUAAUCGCAGAUCAGCAUGCUGCGGUGAAU
This 1360-nucleotide ribosomal RNA is filed under the name uncultured bacterium. RNAcentral's name for it is "16S ribosomal RNA". It matches the Rfam family "Bacterial small subunit ribosomal RNA", at positions 1 to 1367 of the family's 1533-position model. The record is from RNAcentral.